GAUUCCGGGAAGCAGUUGGUUCCCUGCACGGUCCAGCCCCUUUUCCUGGUGGAUUCCAGCGCCGUCGACGUCGGAUCCGGGGAUCUUCCCAUCUUUUUCGAGCUGGGGGAGGGGCCCUGCUUCCCGGACGAGUAUCCCGAGGAAUAUCCCGAGGAAUAUCCCGAGGAAUAUCCCGAGGAAUAUCCCGAGGAUCCCGCGCUGCUCCCGCGGCCGCCCACGCCCCGCGACCCGGCCGUCUCCUAAAACAAAAAAAUCCGGGAUCGAGGACAAGGGAUUGGAUCCCCGGGAAAAAAACAAAUCCUGGGGAAAAAAAAAAAGGAUUCCCAGGAAAAGAAAAAAAUCCCGGAAAAAAAAUCCCGGGAAACAAAAAAAUCCCGGGAAAAAAAGGAUUCCCGGGAAAAGAAAGGAUUUGGGGAAAAAAAGGAUUCCCGGGAAAAGGGAAGGAAUCUUCGCACAAAAUCCCGGAGGCGCCGCUCUCCCGGCUCGGAGCGGAAUUCUGGGGGAUCCCGGGGGAUCUUGGAGCGUUCCUGGGGAUCUUGGAGAGUCACCAGGGAUUCCGGAGGGUUCCGGGAAAUCUUGGAGGUUUCUGGAAUGUUCUGGGGCAUUCCAGAGGAUCCCAGGAAGUCCUGGAGGAUCCCAGAGGAUCCCAGAAUGUCACGAGGGAUUCCAGAGGAUCCCAGAAAAUCCUGGAGGAUCCCGGAGGAUCCCAGAAAAUUCUGGAGGAUUCCAGAGGAUUCCAGAAAAUUCUGGAGGAUUCCAGAGGAUCCCAGAAAAUCCUGGAGGAUCCCAGAGGAUCCCAGAAAAUUCUGGAGGAUUCCAGAGGAUUCCAGAAAAUUCUGGAGGGUCCUGGAGGAUUCCAGAGGAUCCCAGAAAAUCCCAGAGGAUCCCAGAGCAUCACAAGAAAUUCCAGAGGAUUCCUGGAAAUCCUAGAGGAUCCCAGAAAAUUCCAGAGGGUCCCAGAGGAUUCCAGAACGUCCUGGAAAACUCCAGAAGAUCCCAGAAAAUCCUGGAUGGUCCCAGAGGAUCCCUCGGUUCCUGAGGCGUUCCCAAAGUUCCCAGAUUCCCAGGAAAAGCGGGAUCUGCCCAAAUCCCGGGGUAUCCCAGAAAAUCCGGCGGGAUCCCGAAAUCCACGGGAAGCGGAAACCCCGGGAAUUCCGGAGGGAUCCCGGAAUUCCAUCCCGGAAUUCCACAGCGUCCCAAACCCGGCCAGCGC
Molecule: long non-coding RNA, 1213 nt
Filed under: Parus major (Great Tit)
Lineage: Eukaryota; Metazoa; Chordata; Aves; Passeriformes; Paridae
Description: lncRNA (ENSPMJG00000010163.1)
Source: RNAcentral